AAUUUAUAAUUUAUUUAUGUUUUAUUUUAUUUAAUUUUUUUUUAAAAAUAAUUUUAAAGAUUUAAUUUUAAGUAUAUUUUAUAGAAAAAAUAAUAUUUAUUAUAGUAAAUUAGUAUUGUGAAAGAAUAUUGAAAUAUUUUGAAAAUUUAAUUAUUAAAAAGAAAUAUUUAGUUUAUGUACCUUUUGUAUCAGGGUUUAUUAAAUAAUAUUUAUAUAUUUUAAAUUUCUCGAAUUUAAAAGAGUUAAUAAAUUAUUAAAGUUAAUGUAGUAUAAUUAUUUUAAAUAGUUUAUUAGUAAUGAAAUGUUAUUCGUUUUUAAAUAUAUCUAGUUUUUUAAGAAAUAAAUUUAAUUUAUUUAUUUUUAAUAUAAUAUUUUAUAUGUUAAGUAUAUUAUUUAUUAAUAAAAAUAUAUUAAGGGAUAAGCUUUAAUUUAUUGUUUAUAAUAAGUUUAAAUAAUUUUUAAUUAUAGGUUUAGAAAUAGCCAUUAAUAAUAAGUUUGUUUUAAUUUAUAAAUAAAUUAUUUAAUUUUUUUUUAUUUAAAUUUUAUAUUAAAAUGUUUAAUUUAAUUAAAUAAUUAAUGUAAUAAUGAUAAAAUUAGUAUAAUAUUUUGUUUAUUUUUUAUAUUUAUAAAGAUUAAAUUAAGGAAUUCAGCAAAGAUAAAGAAUACUCACCUGUUUAACAAAAACAUGUCUUUUUGAAAAUAAUUUAAAGUCUAACCUGCCCACUGAAUUUUUUUGAAGGGCCGCGGUAUUUUGACUGUGCAAAGGUAGCAUAAUCAUUAGUCUUUUAAUUGAAGGCUUGUAUGAAUGGUUGGAUGAGGUAUUAACUGUCUCUAUUUAAUAAUUAUUAGAAUUUUAUUUUUGAGUUAAAAAGCUUAAAUAAUAUUGGAGGACGAGAAGACCCUAUAGAUCUUUAUAAUUUUUUUUAAUAAUAAUUUUGUAGAAAAGAUUUGUUUUUAUUAAAAUAAUUAUUUUAUUGGGGUGAUAAAAAAAUUUAAUUAACUUUUUUUUAUAUAAACAAUUAUAUUUGAAUAUUUGAUCCAUUAUUAAUGAUUAAAAGAUUAAGUUACCUUAGGGAUAACAGCGUAAUUUUUUUGGAAAGUUCAUAUUUAUAAAAAAGAUUGCGACCUCGAUGUUGAAUUAAAGGUAAAUUUUAGGUGCAGAAGUUUAAAAUUUGGGUCUGUUCGACCCUUAAAUCUUUACAUGAUUUGAGUUCAAACCGGUGUAAGCCAGGUUGGUUUCUAUCCUCAAUUAUAUAAAAUAUUUUAGUACGAAAGGACCAAAUAUUUAAAUUAGUUUUUAUUAUAUUGAAUAAAAUUAAU
RNAcentral lists this ribosomal RNA (1320 nucleotides) under Archichauliodes diversus. Its description in RNAcentral is "16S ribosomal RNA". The record is from RNAcentral. Lineage: Eukaryota; Metazoa; Arthropoda; Insecta; Megaloptera; Corydalidae.